GAUGAACGCUGGCGGCGUGCCUAAUACAUGCAAGUCGAGCGAACAGAUGAGGAGCUUGCUCCUCUCACGUUAGCGGGGGAGGGGCGAGUAACACGUUGAUGCCCUACCUAUAAGACUGGGAUCACUUCGGGAAACCGGAGCUAAUACCGUAUAAUAUCUUGAACCUCAUUAUUCAAUAGUGAAAGACGGUAUUGCUGUAUCUUAUAGAUGGAUCCGCGCCGCAUUAGCUAGUUGGUAAGAUAACGGCUUACCAAGGAAACGAUCAGUAGCCGACCUGAGAGGUGGAUCGGCCACACUGGAACGGAGAAAGGGCCCAGACUCCUACGGGAGGCAGCAGAAGGGAAUCUUCCGCAAGGGGCGAAAGCUGGACGGAGCAACGCCGCUGGAGUGAUGAAGGUCUUCGGAUCUUAAAACUUUGUGAUUAGGGAAGAACAAAUGUGUAAGUAACUAUGCACGUCUUGACGGUACCUAAUCAGAAAGCCACGGCUAACUACGUG
This 497-nucleotide ribosomal RNA is filed under the name uncultured bacterium. RNAcentral describes it as "partial 16S ribosomal RNA". It matches the Rfam family "Bacterial small subunit ribosomal RNA", at positions 28 to 507 of the family's 1533-position model. The record is from RNAcentral.